Molecule: long non-coding RNA, 427 nt
Organism: Saccoglossus kowalevskii
Lineage: Eukaryota; Metazoa; Hemichordata; Enteropneusta; Harrimaniidae
Source: RefSeq, a predicted model, not a curated record
CGCUGACAACUCACAUCUUCAAUUUACCAUUAUUUUGAGCUUUGCAAGUACGAAACAACAUGAACGGCAGAAUCUUAUUUCUUAUUUGUGUGAUUGGAAUACUAAUUUCAGAAACAUUCACUGUCGAAGCAACAUCAUACAGUGGACCCAAACAUAGACGUAGCAAAGGACGCUCGUUUGAUCUGAAUCAGCUUGGCGAUUCAAACGAUCAAGAAAGACGGGAAUACGAUAAUGCUGAGCGAAGAUUUGCUCAAGAUGAAGACAACCACCAGUUCGAUUAGUUGCGAACGCCGUAUUAUUUGUCAUAGUACCACGAACGUUUGUGGUAUUAAUGAAAUGUUCAUACAUAAUGUGACAUCUAGAAAUUAACUUAUGGUGACUAAGAUUUUAUUUGAGAAUAUAUAAUUGCAAAUGAUCAUAUUAUAUU